UCCGUAGGUGGAUAAUUAAGUCAGAGGUGAAAUCUUGCAGCUCAACUGUAGAAUUGCCUUUGAUACUGGUUAUCUUGAGUCAUUAUGAAGUGGUUAGAAUGUGUAGUGUAGCGGUGAAAUGCAUAGAUAUUACACAGAAUACCGAUUGCGAAGGCAGAUCACUAAUAAUGUACUGACACUGAGGGACGAAAGCGUGGGGAGCGAACAGGAUUAGAUACCCUGGUAGUC
RNAcentral lists this ribosomal RNA (228 nucleotides) under uncultured bacterium. RNAcentral's name for it is "partial 16S ribosomal RNA". It matches the Rfam family "Bacterial small subunit ribosomal RNA", at positions 568 to 795 of the family's 1533-position model. The record is from RNAcentral.